ACAUGUACUCUUAAAGAAACUGGCAUAUCAUGUCUAUAUCAUCUACCUAUGGGAGGAACUGGCUGGAGGUGAUACAGGAGGAGGGGAGAAGUGACUUUUCCUACUUGCCCUAACGCUAUCCCCAGGGCAGCUGCAGUACCAAUAAUGCUGAAAGUAGUGACAACAUUGAUUUCCACAGCAGUAGCAGCGUGGAGGGAUCCCCAUGAUACAGGCUAUGGGGGCAGCAAUAGGAAUAAUUCAGGAGUAAUGACAAUAUUAGCUGCAGCUAUAGCAGCUAACAUGUGACUCCUCGUGGUGGCAGCUUCAAAAACAGCAGGAACAGCCCAGCUCAAGAAGGGCAGCUUCCUAGGCUCCUGCUUAAAGAAGCUCAACUUGGACAUCUGAAGGUCUGAAGUACCUUCCACUGACCCCAGCAACAUUUUCACUCCAACUUGGUAGAAGCAGAGAUUUCUUGUAGUUAUUAAUUUUCAAACAACCCUAUCUUUUCACCUAUUGCUCCACACACCCUCGCAAAUGAUUUCUCUAUGAAAUAUGAUACAUAUGACUCACUUGUUUUGCUAGCCCAUAGAGUGUUUUAAUUUUUAAAUCACUUGCAAUUGUGGAAAAAUUGGGAGAGCCCACAUAAAAUUGCAGUUUUCAGCCUUCUCUUGAUCUUUAGAGUGGGCAAUGCUGUUUGCGCUUCCUGCAGGGCCACAGAGGUCUGAUGCUGAGUAAUGACUGUCCCUUUCAACAAGUUCGCCAGGUCCCCCACCUGGACUGCUUCCAUUGACCACACCUCCUGCCUGGCCCUGCACACUUGGAUGUUCGCCACACCUAAUAUACAUGGAAUUGCAAGGAAGAAAGUCCUGUGUAAGAGAACACAAACCAUAAGAGCAAGAACUGGAAAACUCUAUUGGGUCAAACUUGAAAGGAUGCUCCAACUGGGAGAGAAGAAGAGACUGAUGAAGGAAGGCAUGGUCUGAAGCGUCACCUGCCGCUGAGAGAGUCUUAAGAGAACAUAUACAAAGGGACAGUAGCCACCUGGAGCCUUCUUGUGGCGAAUGGCAGGACCAUAAGAGGGAUGAAAACAGGUGAUGGGCCUCAGAGCCCCUGUUUUGAACUGACUCACUUUUGCAAAUGCCCACAUUCCAUCAGUCAAAAAGCAAGUCAGAUGACCAAGUCCAAGAGUAUGACACCAUCUGGCAGGUGUUCUUCCUGCCAAAAGGAGCAGACAAAAAGGCUCACCUUUCCUUCUCAGAAUGAGGGCUCACAGAGAAGGGAGCCCUGACAAACAGAGAAAAAAAGCCCUCGAUGGAGGCGUAGGGGACUGAUGAGAGAUGAACGGGAAGAAACCCUGUCCGAAGCAACUUUGUCUGAAUAGAAGAGAUGGUAACUUGGUGCUGAAAAUAGACUUUGAGCUGCACACAAGCCGAGAUUGAGAGUAACCGGCACAUAAUUAGAAUAAGAGUUUUGAUGCAAAGGUAAGAUUACUUCACUGGAGAUCAUCCCUGCACAACGUAUAGAGAAGCAGGCUUGGCAGAACCCAUCAAUGCUAGAAGAGAAAUACAGAUGUGAGCAAAGGGAGAGUGAGUUACUGCAGUCACCUCUUGCCAAGAGUGUCCCUAAUCUUGAGCAGGGAGGAGGUGGGAAAUUCAAGUUGGCAGCUGCACUGAGUAACAUUUUUAGCUUGUAGUAUAUGGUGAUGUUUGGGUGAGCGACAUGAACUAUAUGCCCUUCUGAUCCGAUACUGUGGGUUAAGUCAUUAUCCACUCAUCUUUCUGUUAGUUUCAUAAAAUCGAUUUAAAGAAUCACUAACUUAUUUUCAUGUAUAAAAAAUCAGGUUGAAGCCUACUGGUGACUUAUUCAACAUACCCUUGCCAAGAAUGGAACACCAGGAGAGGGUAACUGUGUCUUAGUUUGGGCUUUUAUGGAAAUAGACCCUUAGAUAAAAAUUCAAAGGCAAGCAGUAUGGGAGAUGAUCCCUGGAACCCGUGGAAAAGGAGUGUGGAUGUGAAACCAGAAGGGGUAGGGCCGAUAAGAGGUGGAUUAUGAAACAAAUCCCCCCUCACAGGCCACCAAAGCUGGGGACAUCUGGAAAUGAUGCAGAAUAAUCACUCUGACUCAUUUUCUCUGAGGGUCCAGGCAGCUGAAGCAUUUAUCUACCAACUGCUAGCAGGUGGGUUUCCAGAGUCGCUCCUGGGAGGGGGUCCUUCUCCAGAAGUGCAGCCUGCCCCACAGGUGAAAUACAGGUGCUGCUGGGAGGAACCAGCCCUAUGUGCCCAGAAGUGGUCAGAAUGAAGGGCUGAGGGUGGGACAGCCAGAGCAUCACUGAGAACCCCAGCUGGAUGCCAUCUUAACAAGGGCCCAGCUUGGAUGUGCUGCAGAGGAAAAUGACAUUUGUGCAUUUCCCACUCUUCUGGCAUCAGUGAGAUGGCUAUACCCCUAGGAGCUCUUGGUGGGGCCUCAGGAUUGAUUUGAACCAAGAAUCAUAUUUCUCUGUCCUUUACUUUUCAAUCAAAUUAUUUUUAUAUAUGACUUAUAUUCAAACCCGAGUUAUAUUUACAACUAUUCCUGAGUUUCUUGCCACUGUUCAGUGUAAGCAUUCCCUGGAAAACAUAGCAGCGCACCCUAAAAGGUCUAAGGCCACUGUAUAAUAAAAUGUACUGUCCUGUGUUGUUUCUUUCAGGUGAGGCCGUAGCCUUACUGCAGGCACAUGUGGGAUCGAGGAGGUACAAAGGGAACUAGACUAUCUGGCCUGGAAUGUCACUGCCAGGAAUGUCAAGACUGCCUCAGACUGUCACAGUGACUUUAUAAAUGACUACUCCUUUUCUCUAUCAAUUCCAUUUUCUUAUUUUCCCACUCAAAAAUAUAAAGGGAAAUUAUAUGAUUGUACUACCUUUAAUUUUUUUUUUUAAAAAAACCUCUAGAUUUCUUUGAGUAUAAAUGCAUGGGAAUGAGCAGCAGCAUGUUCAUUGUGAAUUGACAGCUCGUGUCACUGAUUUUAAAAAUAAAAUGAAUGUCUAUUUAUGCACAUUGGUAUAAUUUGGGGGACUGUAUAUGCAUAUUAUAAUACCAUGGAUAAAUUAAGAAGUCAUCAUUUAUAUGUUACUAAAAAAGUUUACUCCACAUUAGCCUGAGUGAAUGUAAUUUGUAUCAGGUUUUAUGUUUCUUUUCUUUUUAUGGCUACACCUGUGGCACAUGGAAGUUUCCUGGGCUAGGGGUUUAGUAGGAGUUGCAGCUGCAUGCCUGUGCCACAGCCACAGCAACACCAGAUCCAGCUGCAUCUGCGACCUACACCACAGCUUGUGGCAACGCCAGAUCCUUAACCCACUGAGUGAGGCCAGGGAUGGAACCUGCAUCCUCACAGACACUAUAUCUAGUUCUUAACCUGCUGAGUCACAAGGGGAACUCCAGGUUUUCUGUUCAGUACUGCAAAUGCCUGCUGUGGCAAGUGUUGUGCAUUUUAUAUGAUUGCUUCUUACUUUUAACUAUUAAUUUUAGAGUAAUAUUAGACUUACCAAAAAGGCACCAAAGUAAAUUUCAGAGAUCCUAUAUACUUUCCGUAAUGUUAACAUCUUACAUAAGUGUCAUACAAUAAUAUAGGACCAAUUUUGGUACCAGAUAGAUGUAAGCAAAUCUGCAGCCAAAAUUCAUCAUCUUGUCUAGGUAUUCUCUCCAUGUAUGUCCAUGUAUGGUACUGGAAUGAAUAAAAACGUUUUAAUGUUCUUGGUUUAAAAACAGCAGAAUAAAAGAAAAAAAAA
This 3740-nucleotide long non-coding RNA is filed under the name Sus scrofa (pig). RNAcentral describes it as "lncRNA (ENSSSCG00055013955.1)". Lineage: Eukaryota; Metazoa; Chordata; Mammalia; Artiodactyla; Suidae. The record is from RNAcentral.